Molecule: transfer RNA, 69 nt
Filed under: Ictidomys tridecemlineatus (thirteen-lined ground squirrel)
Lineage: Eukaryota; Metazoa; Chordata; Mammalia; Rodentia; Sciuridae
Also listed under: 1 other name
Description: Spermophilus tridecemlineatus (thirteen-lined ground squirrel) tRNA
Rfam family: tRNA
About the family: Transfer RNA (tRNA) molecules are approximately 80 nucleotides in length. Their secondary structure includes four short double-helical elements and three loops (D, anti-codon, and T loops).
Source: Rfam by way of RNAcentral
GGGGUUGUAGCUCAGUGGUAGAGCACUUGCCUAGCAUGUGUGAGGCCCUGGGUUAGAUCCCCAGCACCA